UUAAGCGACUAAGCGUACACGGUGGAUGCCCUGGCAGUCAGAGGCGAUGAAGGACGUGCUAAUCUGCGAUAAGCGUCGGUGAGGUGAUAUGAACCGUUAUAACCGGCGAUUUCCGAAUGGGGAAACCCAGUGUGUUUCGACACACUAUCAUUAACUGAAUCCAUAGGUUAAUGAGGCGAACCGGGGGAACUGAAACAUCUAAGUACCCCGAGGAAAAGAAAUCAACCGAGAUUCCCCCAGUAGCGGCGAGCGAACGGGGAGGAGCCCAGAGCCUGAAUCAGUGUGUGUGUUAGUGGAAGCGUCUGGAAAGGCGUGCGAUACAGGGUGACAGCCUCGUACACAAAAAUGCACAUAUUGUGAGCUCGAUGAGUAGGGCGGGACACGUGGUAUCCUGUCUGAAUAUGGGGGGACCAUCCUCCAAGGCUAAAUACUCCUGACUGACCGAUAGUGAACCAGUACCGUGAGGGAAAGGCGAAAAGAACCCCGGCGAGGGGAGUGAAAAAGAACCUGAAACCGUGUACGUACAAGCAGUGGGAGCCUCUUAAUGGGGUGACUGCGUACCUUUUGUAUAAUGGGUCAGCGACUUAUAUUCUGUAGCAAGGUUAACCGAAUAGGGGAGCCGAAGGGAAACCGAGUCUUAACUGGGCGUUAAGUUGCAGGGUAUAGACCCGAAACCCGGUGAUCUAGCCAUGGGCAGGUUGAAGGUUGGGUAACACUAACUGGAGGACCGAACCGACUAAUGUUGAAAAAUUAGCGGAUGACUUGUGGCUGGGGGUGAAAGGCCAAUCAAACCGGGAGAUAGCUGGUUCUCCCCGAAAGCUAUUUAGGUAGCGCCUCGUGAAUUCAUCUCCGGGGGUAGAGCACUGUUUCGGCAAGGGGGUCAUCCCGACUUACCAACCCGAUGCAAACUGCGAAUACCGGAGAAUGUUAUCACGGGAGACACACGGCGGGUGCUAACGUCCGUCGUGAAGAGGGAAACAACCCAGACCGCCAGCUAAGGUCCCAAAGUCAUGGUUAAGUGGGAAACGAUGUGGGAAGGCCCAGACAGCCAGGAUGUUGGCUUAGAAGCAGCCAUCAUUUAAAGAAAGCGUAAUAGCUCACUGGUCGAGUCGGCCUGCGCGGAAGAUGUAACGGGGCUAAACCAUGCACCGAAGCUGCGGCAGCGACACUAUGUGUUGUUGGGUAGGGGAGCGUUCUGUAAGCCUGUGAAGGUGGCCUGUGAGGGUUGCUGGAGGUAUCAGAAGUGCGAAUGCUGACAUAAGUAACGAUAAAGCGGGUGAAAAGCCCGCUCGCCGGAAGACCAAGGGUUCCUGUCCAACGUUAAUCGGGGCAGGGUGAGUCGACCCCUAAGGCGAGGCCGAAAGGCGUAGUCGAUGGGAAACAGGUUAAUAUUCCUGUACUUGGUGUUACUGCGAAGGGGGGACGGAGAAGGCUAUGUUGGCCGGGCGACGGUUGUCCCGGUUUAAGCGUGUAGGCUGGUUUUCCAGGCAAAUCCGGAAAACCAAGGCUGAGGCGUGAUGACGAGGCACUACGGUGCUGAAGCGACAAAUGCCCUGCUUCCAGGAAAAGCCUCUAAGCAUCAGGUAACAUCAAAUCGUACCCAAAACCGACACAGGUGGUCAGGUAGAGAAUACCAAGGCGCUUGAGAGAACUCGGGUGAAGGAACUAGGCAAAAUGGUGCCGUAACUUCGGGAGAAGGCACGCUGAUAUGUAGGUGAAGCGACUCGCUCGUGGAGCUGAAAUCAGUCGAAGAUACCAGCUGGCUGCAACUGUUUAUUAAAAACACAGCACUGUGCAAACACGAAAGUGGACGUAUACGGUGUGACGCCUGCCCGGUGCCGGAAGGUUAAUUGAUGGGGUUAGCGGUAACGCGAAGCUCUUGAUCGAAGCCCCGGUAAACGGCGGCCGUAACUAUAACGGUCCUAAGGUAGCGAAAUUCCUUGUCGGGUAAGUUCCGACCUGCACGAAUGGCGUAAUGAUGGCCAGGCUGUCUCCACCCGAGACUCAGUGAAAUUGAACUCGCUGUGAAGAUGCAGUGUACCCGCGGCAAGACGGAAAGACCCCGUGAACCUUUACUAUAGCUUGACACUGAACAUUGAGCCUUGAUGUGUAGGAUAGGUGGGAGGCUUUGAAGUGUGGACGCCAGUCUGCAUGGAGCCGACCUUGAAAUACCACCCUUUAAUGUUUGAUGUUCUAACGUUGGCCCGUAAUCCGGGUUGCGGACAGUGUCUGGUGGGUAGUUUGACUGGGGCGGUCUCCUCCUAAAGAGUAACGGAGGAGCACGAAGGUUGGCUAAUCCUGGUCGGACAUCAGGAGGUUAGUGCAAUGGCAUAAGCCAGCUUGACUGCGAGCGUGACGGCGCGAGCAGGUGCGAAAGCAGGUCAUAGUGAUCCGGUGGUUCUGAAUGGAAGGGCCAUCGCUCAACGGAUAAAAGGUACUCCGGGGAUAACAGGCUGAUACCGCCCAAGAGUUCAUAUCGACGGCGGUGUUUGGCACCUCGAUGUCGGCUCAUCACAUCCUGGGGCUGAAGUAGGUCCCAAGGGUAUGGCUGUUCGCCAUUUAAAGUGGUACGCGAGCUGGGUUUAGAACGUCGUGAGACAGUUCGGUCCCUAUCUGCCGUGGGCGCUGGAGAACUGAGGGGGGCUGCUCCUAGUACGAGAGGACCGGAGUGGACGCAUCACUGGUGUUCGGGUUGUCAUGCCAAUGGCACUGCCCGGUAGCUAAAUGCGGAAGAGAUAAGUGCUGAAAGCAUCUAAGCACGAAACUUGCCCCGAGAUGAGUUCUCCCUGACUCCUUGAGAGUCCUGAAGGAACGUUGAAGACGACGACGUUGAUAGGCCGGGUGUGUAAGCGCAGCGAUGCGUUGAGCUAACCGGUACUAAUGAACCGUGAGGCUUAACCUU
This 2902-nucleotide ribosomal RNA is filed under the name Escherichia coli HVH 220 (4-5876842). RNAcentral's name for it is "bacterial LSU rRNA". It matches the Rfam family "Bacterial large subunit ribosomal RNA". Lineage: Bacteria; Pseudomonadati; Pseudomonadota; Gammaproteobacteria; Enterobacterales; Enterobacteriaceae. The record is from RNAcentral.